RNAcentral lists this ribosomal RNA (505 nucleotides) under uncultured bacterium. RNAcentral describes it as "bacterial SSU rRNA". It matches the Rfam family "Bacterial small subunit ribosomal RNA", at positions 28 to 529 of the family's 1533-position model. The record is from RNAcentral.
GACGAACGCUGGCGGCGUGGAUUAGGCAUGCAAGUCGGACGGUAGGGCUUUAUCGUAAGAUAGAGUUUGAGAGUGGCGAACGGGUGAGUAACACGUAGGAAUCUACCCUUAAGACGGGGACAACCCAGGGAAACUUGGGCUAAUACCGGAUGAGAGUGCGAGAGAUUGCAUUUAAAAGGAUGGCGAAAGUUGUCGCUUAGGGAUGAGCCUGCGGUCUAUUAGUUAGUUGGUGAGGUAAGAGCUCACCAAGGCGAUGAUAGAUAGGCGGCCUUAACGGGUGGUCGCCCACACUGGGAUUGAGAUACGGCCCAGACUCCUACGGGAGGCAGCAGUCGAGAAUAGUCUACAAUGGCCGGAAGGCUGAUAGUGCGACGCCGCGUGAGCGAAGAAGGCCUUCGGGUUGUAAGCUCUGUCUGGAGGGACGGAACGAAAAUAGACGGUACCGUCCGGACGGAAGGCCGACGGCCUAACUACGUCGCCAGCAGCCGCGGUAAGCAUACUCGUA